GCCGGGCGUGGUGGCAGGUGCCUGUAAUCCAAGUCACUGGGAGGCUGAGGUUGGCGGAUCGAGUGAGCUGAGGAGCUCUGUGCUGCAGCACGCUAUGUAGAACGGGUGUCCACGCUAAGUUCGGUAUCGAUAUGGUGUUCCUGGGGGAGCCCGGGACCACCAGGUUGUCUAAGGAGGGGUGUACCGGCCCAGGUCGGAAACGGAGCAGGUCAAAUCCCCCGUUCCGUCCAGUAGUUGGAUAUCGCCUGUGAGUAGAUGCUGCAGUACAGCCUCGGCAAGACAUCGGAACCUGAUCUUU
This is an unclassified non-coding RNA of Hucho hucho (huchen), 298 nucleotides long. It matches the Rfam family "Metazoan signal recognition particle RNA". From Rfam's summary of the family: The signal recognition particle (SRP) is a universally conserved ribonucleoprotein. It is involved in the co-translational targeting of proteins to membranes. The record is from Ensembl. NCBI's taxonomy places the organism in Eukaryota, Metazoa, Chordata, Actinopteri, Salmoniformes, Salmonidae.